GCACAACAAGCUUCUUACCUCGUAGCCACACCUGAAAUAAAUCGCAAUUCUUGGAACCAAUUACUGACACAGAUUUGACGCUGAAUUGCUGAAGCAUAAAUAUCGUAUAGCAAAUAUUCUGGUCCACACCACAGAUUUGCUGGUUGUCUUUGGUCGGGUAAAGAACUAUAAAGAACUAUAAAGAGGACCUUGAAUUGAAUGUAAACCACAAAAGUCAAUGAUUACGCAUCAAAAGGGAUUUACACAUGCAGUAGAAAAACAUGGUUUGUAAAUAAAAAUAUCUGUUUUUU
Molecule: long non-coding RNA, 290 nt
Organism: Octopus bimaculoides (California two-spot octopus)
Lineage: Eukaryota; Metazoa; Mollusca; Cephalopoda; Octopoda; Octopodidae
Source: RefSeq, a predicted model, not a curated record